AGAGUUUGAUCAUGGCUCAGAUUGAACGCUGGCGGCAGGCCUUACACAUGCAAGUCGAGCGGUAGCACAGAGAGCUUGCUCUCGGGUGACGAGCGGCGGACGGGUGAGUAAUGUCUGGGAAACUGCCUGAUGGAGGGGGAUAACUACUGGAAACGGUAGCUAAUACCGCAUAACGUCGCAAGACCAAAGUGGGGGACCUUCGGGCCUCAUGCCAUCAGAUGUGCCCAGAUGGGAUUAGCUAGUAGGUGGGGUAAUGGCUCACCUAGGCGACGAUCCCUAGCUGGUCUGAGAGGAUGACCAGCCACACUGGAACUGAGACACGGUCCAGACUCCUACGGGAGGCAGCAGUGGGGAAUAUUGCACAAUGGGCGCAAGCCUGAUGCAGCCAUGCCGCGUGUAUGAAGAAGGCCUUCGGGUUGUAAAGUACUUUCAGCGAGGAGGAAGGCGUUAAGGUUAAUAACCUUGGCGAUUGACGUUACUCGCAGAAGAAGCACCGGCUAACUCCGUGCCAGCAGCCGCGGUAAUAC
Molecule: ribosomal RNA, 527 nt
Filed under: uncultured bacterium
Lineage: Bacteria
Description: bacterial SSU rRNA
Rfam family: Bacterial small subunit ribosomal RNA
Source: RNAcentral